This 432-nucleotide ribosomal RNA is filed under the name uncultured bacterium. RNAcentral describes it as "partial 16S ribosomal RNA". It matches the Rfam family "Bacterial small subunit ribosomal RNA", at positions 28 to 507 of the family's 1533-position model. The record is from RNAcentral.
GAUGAACGCUGGCGGUAUGCUUAACACAUGCAAGUCGAACGGUCACUUCGGUGAUAGUGGCGGACGGGUGAGUAACGCGUGAGAAUCUGUCUUCAGGUCGGGGACAACAGUUAGAAAUGACUGCUAAUACCGGAUGUGCCUUUGGGUGAAAGAUUUAUUGCCUGAAAAAGAGCUCGCGUCAGAUUAGCUAGUAGGUGGUGUAAGAGACUACCUAGGCUCCGAUCUGUAGCUGGUCUGAGAGGACGAUCAGCCACACUGGAACUGAGACACGGUCCAGAUUCCUACGGGAGGCAGCAGUGGGGAAUUUUCCGCAAUGGGCGAAAGCCUGACGGAGCAAUACCGCGUGAGGGACGAAGGCUUUUGGGUCGUAAACCUCUUUUCUCAAGGAAGAUGAUGACGGUACCUGAGGAAUAAGCAUCGGCUAACUCUGUG